This 171-nucleotide ribosomal RNA is filed under the name uncultured bacterium. RNAcentral describes it as "partial 16S ribosomal RNA". The stretch from base 1 to 77 matches the Rfam family "Bacterial small subunit ribosomal RNA", at positions 796 to 873 of the family's 1533-position model. The record is from RNAcentral.
CACGCCGUAAACGAUGGAUGCUAGCCGUUAGGCAGCUUGCUGCUUAGUGGCGCAGCUAACGCUUUAAGCAUCCCGCCUGGGGAGUNACGCGCAGAACCUUACCAGCUUUUGACAUGUCUUGGACGGAUAGCAGAGAUGUUAUCUUCUCUUCGGAGCCAGGAACACAGGUGC